This 230-nucleotide ribosomal RNA is filed under the name uncultured bacterium. Its description in RNAcentral is "partial 16S ribosomal RNA". It matches the Rfam family "Bacterial small subunit ribosomal RNA", at positions 118 to 347 of the family's 1533-position model. The record is from RNAcentral.
UGAGUAACCUGCCCUUCACUCUGGGAUAACUCCGGGAAACCGGGGCUAAUACUGGAUAUGACUCGAACAGGCAUCUGUUUCGGGUGGAAAGAUAUUUGGUGGAGGAUGGACUCGCGGCCUAUCAGCUUGUUGGUGAGGUAAUGGCUCACCAAGGCGACGACGGGUAGCCGGCCUGAGAGGGCGAUCGGCCACACUGGGACUGAGACACGGCCCAGACUCCUACGGGAGCA